CCUCAGCCUCAUCUCCAGCCCCUUGCCUCCUCCUGGCCCUGGCACCCCUGCCAAGUGAGGAGUCGGGGGCCCUGCGGAGGUGCUCAGAGCCAGGGCAGUGCCAGGGGCAGCCCUCGCACCGUCCUCCACUGGCUGCCCGCCCGCCCCCUCGCAGCCGCCACACGUAUCUCAGCUGUCACAUCCGAUUAGGGCUCCUGCCCACUGAGCCGGACAAGGAGGCCACGGGGCAGGGGAGAGACGCGGGCAAGGACGCGGAGGAGCGGGCUGCCAGGGGGAGGUGGGGGCAGGCUCAGGGAGGAAGAGCCUGGCGGGACUGCUGGCCUCUGACCACCAGCACCCAGGUGGGCAGGCGGGCGGCUGGGCAGGGGACAGAGACAGUCUGCGCGCGUGUGGGGAACUCGGCAGGCCCUGGGGCUUCAGCUGUGCCUGCCGCCUCUGUCCUCCCAGAAGGGCGAGGAUGCCGGAAGGAAACCAGAGGCAGAGACAGUGACCUAGAUUCGGGCGAGGUCCCAGGCUCCAGCUCUCCAGCCUAACCCCCACCUGCACCGUGCUUCACCACGCAUUGUUGCGGGGGCUCUUGGGCGGCGUCCGCCAGGCAAACCAGCCGGAGCGGAGCUCCAGUUUAGGCCUCAGAUUGGAACCCGCAGCUUCCUCCUCAGACCAGGAGCAGCACCCAGUCUACGCCGCUCCACCAUCUACCCUUCCCGGCAAAACUAACCUUCGGGCACCUGAGAGCUACAGGGACAGAGCACACCCUCCCCCGGACAGUUAUCCGAUGGCUUGCACACGCACACAUGCACACGCGCACACACGCACACACACGGCCGGAGGGACUCCCUCAGGGUGAGACCAGUCUCUCUGCACCCUCUGGCCGGUCUGCGACCCCAGAAGCUAAGUCUCGGCAGUCCUCUAUGCCCACCACGCCAGAGCCUGAUGCCGGGGUCUUCCCAGAGCAGGUCCGGCCCGCCCACCACGGACACAGGAAUAAGCCCCAGUGCACACGGGGCGCCAUGCAGCCCUCUGCCGGGGCGCCUGGGAGACCUGGGGACCUCCCAGCUCUGGGGUGGCACAGGAGCCCGAGGAGCCGAAAGCCAAGGAGCCCAGGGAGCUGGCACGGCUGCCUGACCUCGCCGAGCCGGUGCACACCCGCUUCCCGGGCCAUCUGGAGCGAGCCUGUCCCGGCCCGGGCCCUCGUCUGCUUCCCUCCAGGAAGCUCCCUCCAGAACUUACUGCUCCGCAGCCACAUGGUCUGCACGCGCACGCACACGCGCGCACACACACACACACACACACACACACACACACUCUCUCGAGCACGCAGAGGGCAGGGGCUCUGCAGGAGCCGGGAGGCGCCGGCGAGCGUGGAUGGAGGCUCCGGGGAGCCCGGAGAACUUUCCCCAGAGGAGGCGCUCCCCAGAGCGCUCGGAGGCUCCGGCGAAGCCGCGCUGGCCGGCCGGGGAGCAGCCUCUCUGGGGACGCCGGUCCCCUGGCAGGCGGGCAAGGCGCCGGGGACAGCCCUGCCCGCCGCGCUGGGAGGCGGAGAGGAAGCCGGGAGAACCCCGCGCCGCCCCUCCCCGGCUAGGUCAGCGGGUGCAGCGCUAAGCCUGCCGGGGAGACGGUGGGCCCUGGGCCGAGGACCAAAUAGGACCCCGGAAGGAUCCCCGGGCUCGGACGCAACCUAUGAAGGACUCGGGCUGAAGACAGGACGCGACAGAGACAUUGCUUCCCGCCUGAGGGCUGCAGAGAGAGUGGGGCUGGGGCCAGAGGUGAGGCUGAGGUCUUCCCACCUCCACGCCUGCGGACCCCUUUCGGCCCUGAGCAUCCAGGCACAGGAACUCUCCUUUGUCCUUGUCCUCAGACUACAGCGGUCCACCUGCUCGCCCCACUGUUCGGUACCCAGGAGGACAUGGGGGGGCUUGAUUUUAUCAAGGGAGGAGGGCAGGAUGACUUAGAUGGUGCCAGAAGUGGGAGUCCUGUCUCCUUAGGCUGAGGCAAGUAUGUUUGCUGUGUGUAGGGUAUGCAGAUAUACAGCUGAGGCUCCCAGCAGAUGCGCUAAGGGACAAGGGAGACAACCGGAAAAGGCUCUGGAUUACAUCCAUAACUAGUUUGUUUUGGUUUGUUUUUCUUCCAGUACCAGGAAUCGAACUCACGACCUUGCACUUGCCAGGCAGGCACUUUGCCGCUGAGCUAAAUCCCCAGCCCCUACAUCCAUAACUAGAAAUGGCCAGGCCUGUUGUAAUCCUGGCACUCGAGGAGGCUGAGGCAGGAGGAUAACAAGUUUGUGGCCAGCCUGGACCAAUAGCAAGACCCUGUCUCGAAAAAAAAAAAAAAAAAAAAACACCACCAAAAAAGCAAAUCAAAAACAAAACAAAACAAAACCUAGAAAUGGCAAUUGCCCGUAGACAGGAUGCAGAACCCAGAGGUUGUUAGCGUCCUGACCCAGCUCUCAGUAGGGUCCUGAGCCUGUAUGAACAGAACAAGAAGUUAGCAAGUGUUUUCCCAGGGAUUAUUUUGAGUACAUAUAGGGGGUAGAGGGGCUUUGCUUGGUUUUGGGUUUUGAGAUAGGGUACCACUGUGUAGUUCAGGCUGGCCUUGAAUUCACUAUGUAGCCCAGGCUGAUCUCAAACUCCUGGUAAUCCUCCUGCCUCGGCCUCCUGAGGGCUGGGAUUACAAGUGUGCACCACCACACCCAGUGGAAAGAGGGCUUUUUAAGGUGCAGGGUAGUUGACCCCAAGGUCUCACAAAUGCUACAUAAGCCCUUGAGGAACCUGACACAAUGGAUCAACUUCAAGGUCACUGGUUCGGUUUAGGAAACCAGCUUUCUCUGAGGCUCAGAAGGGAGCCUUCAGGAGUGGGGGGCAGGUGGGGAAGGGAAAAGUGGGUUAAAGUCUGCACAGUCCUGGCCCGAGAAUAAGCGGGGGUUGAGCCUGGGGCCUUUGCACUGUGCUAUGUCUUCCUCACACCCUUUUUUGGGGGCAGGACUCGGUCUCACUAUGUCACUCAGUUGCCCAGGUUGGGCCUUGAAUGCACGAUCGUCCUGCUUCAGCCUCCCAGAGUGCUGGGAUCAUAGACCUGUGCCACCAGGCCAGGCUGGCUGCAGAACAUUUUGCAAGGAGAGUUGCACAUUCUCUCUCGGAGGAGAGCAGGGCAAAUGUCAUGGGGCGAAGGGCUGGGCGAAGUCCGGGACAGACCUGAGGGAAGGGUGAGGGCACUGGCCACGGCCCUGCCCUUUCUGUGCAGCAGGAAAAAGCAGGCCGGGGUCCUAGACAGCGAGGACCGGGGCCGGGGUGGAGCCUCGGGGUGAGCUUAGGUCAAGCCGCUCAUCCUAACGUGCCUGGGUUCUCUCCCAGCUGUUAAACAGGGCUCCGGGUUCUUCCCAGGCAGUUAAUGAGUGUUUACAGAAGGGCUUGGAGAUCCUCAGAUCUCAGCUGGGCCCCCGCUGCCGCUACAAAGCCCAAGGGGGCUGCAUGCUAUUUGGGGAGGGCGCGAGGAUGGAGGAGACCAUGCGCUGGUAAACUGAGGAAGAGCCGGAGCUCCGCCGAGCUGCGCUGGCCCGGCCGCCGCAGGAUAUCCUUGUGCCCAGGGAUGGAGGUCACCCCCCCAGCCCUAACCACCACCGCAGGCCGGGCUCCAGCGCGCUGGAGGCAGAACCCAGACGGGCAGCUGGUCUUCAUUAACUGCAGCUCUCGCACCCCCCACCGGGAACCCGCAGCUUCUCCGGGCCCAGGCUGUGGGGGUGUGGGGGCGCCCUGGCCCGACCUUGCAGCUGGCACUGGCUGGGGCCACCGUGCCGAAGACCAGGUCACCGGCUGCGGAGAAAGUCCGGCCGCACGGAAAGCCGAGCGCGGCUCCCCGCUCUCCCGUUGGGAGCAGGGAGGAAGGGAGGGCGCCGAGGGGUGUGGGGGUGAGCGCUGGAGGUGGGGGAAUUUAGGGCAAACAGCGGGAGUGAAGUCAGCUGGAUGGAGGCCCAGAAAACCCCCACCCCCUGGGGCCAAGUCUUACUCCAGCUCGCUCUCAGCUCCUCUUGGCCCGGCCCCAAACGAGGAGGGCCCUGGCUGCCCCUCGCCGCCCCGCCCCCACCUUAUUAAAUACACAUUUUAUCUCUCAGCAUCUUCAUUAUCUUAACCGAAGGAGACAGCGGUGCAUGGUGGCAGCGCAGCGCGUCAGGAGGGGGCGGGGUGGGGAGCAGCGGGCGCACCCUGCUUGCAAAGUGCUGAUCCAGCUCUUUCGGGCAGUGUGGGAAACAGAGGCGGGAUCAAAGGGAGCGGGACUGAUUCAGAACUCAAUUAGGGCUUUUUCAAAAACGGAGCUGCCUCCUCGCUCCUUUGCCAGUCUUCAGCCGUUCCCCAAUUAGCUCCUCCUGCAGGUGCCUUGGGGCCGGGGCUGGGAAUCCAGGGGAGCCUGCGGGGCGCUUGCACCCUCUGCCCUGUGGAAUGCGCCUCCGGUGACAGCCCCAGAGAACGCCUCUUGGGCAGGAAAGGAGACCACGACUUGGCCCCGAAGCUAAGGGGCAGUAAACCCAAGGUGGGGUCCUCCCCAGCCCGUGCCAACCAGGGCUGGCGUGGUUUUAGGCCACCUCUAGGGAUGCCCCGUUCCAGCCCAGAGGCCAAGCGUGCACCCCAAAGGCAAAGCUUCUCCAAAGCAACGUGGAGAUGCCGAGACAGGACACAGCUACUUCAGAGGGGCUGAUCGGGUGGCUUGUGAGGCCAGCACCCCUGCUUGGGAAGGCUGCUCCCCGUCAGCGCAGACACCAGCGGCCUUGCCCCCACUCUCUGCAAGACGGCCAGAGGCAGCUGCUUGCUUGGUCCAUGUACCUGCUCACUCACAAUUAUCCAGUACUCACCAGGUACCCUAACGCUGGAGACAGACACAAAUGUGCAGAGAAUCUUAAUCUUGGGGGUGGUAGGAAGCGUGGUGUGCAGGAAGACCUGGGUUCGAUCUUCAGGAUGCUGGGGGAAACCUCAGCCUGCGCUCUGUUUGCUCACACAGUACUUAGGGAACAGCUCUGAGUAGAUUUUUGAAAACAUGGCCCAGGCCUAAGUCAUAUCAUAUUUCCACUUCCUGAUUUUUUUUUUAGAAGGAAGGUACUGGGACGGAAAGCAAGGCCUCCGCACUGAGCUACAUCCCAGUCCAUUUUAUUUGUUUUCAGUCUUGCUAAGCCCAGUGCAGGCUGGACUUGCACUCGAAAGUCCUCCUGCCUCAGCCUCCCACAGUGGCACUUCCUGUAAUGGUCUAUGUUGGGCAGCUAAGUGUUCAAGCUAAAAUCAACUUCAUUGUCUGAGUUCUUUCCAUGGCCCAUAACACUCAACACUCCCUGGAAGCACAGUCUACUUAAAAAAGAUAAACCAAGACACAGCCACCACCUAUGAAGGAAUGUAGGUCAGCACCUCUGCCGCCAUCCUAUGUGUGUGCAGCGGCCGAGGUCCCGGCAAAAGCUGCGAACCGUGGGCCUGUCCCAGCCCUCUGAACCCCGACCGUUCUCGGCUUCAGCAAGGGGGCCUCGUCUUCCUCUCCCCCGGUGUCUGAAUUACACUUAAGACUUCACUGACAACCUCCAUCAGCUUUUGCUCCCUAAAGGGCAGCGGGAGCCAAGCGGGGACUCGGUCUGCUUCACACAUCAGAGGAACCAGCUGCUGGAGCCUUAAGAGUAGCAGUGGCCUAGAAAUUGGCGGUGGGUAAGUGCAGAAAGGAAACCAGCGAGCCAGCACCCAGGAAGCCCCUUUCCAGUAGCAGGGCACGGGGAGACAGGAGGCGGAGGGGAAGCAACGUGGCCCCUUUGAAUCCCCCAAUGUGAUCCUGGCCAGGGAGGCGCCGCAGCUGCCGCGCCGGCCGGAGUCCAGCCAUGUCCAGCCUGGUUCGAGACUCACGCGAGCCUGCAGUGGAGGGGAAGGCGCCAGGCCCCAAGCGUGGCGAGGCGGGCUGCCGCUUGCUCCUUCCUGGACAAGAUCUGCAGAGCAGACAGCAGCUGCCCACAGUGUGGAAACAAACUGUAAGGCAGCCCCAUCUCUUAAGGCCGCAGCAUCCAAUAAAAUGUAACUUAAAUCCAGCCUCGCAUCUGCUCCCAAUC
RNAcentral lists this long non-coding RNA (6067 nucleotides) under Chinchilla lanigera (long-tailed chinchilla). Its description in RNAcentral is "lncRNA (ENSCLAG00000023071.1)". Lineage: Eukaryota; Metazoa; Chordata; Mammalia; Rodentia; Chinchillidae. The record is from RNAcentral.